CACUGGACCGCAGCGCGUGUCCAACAUUGACAACGAUGCAGACGAGAUUCGCGUGGCCCCUGCGCAAGGGUGAGACGCAAAUUCGUGAAGCGUUCCAAACGUUU
Molecule: small nuclear RNA, 104 nt
Organism: Lethenteron reissneri (Far Eastern brook lamprey)
Lineage: Eukaryota; Metazoa; Chordata; Hyperoartia; Petromyzontiformes; Petromyzontidae
Source: RefSeq, a predicted model, not a curated record